CUACGGGUUGCUGCAGUAAGGAAUAUUGCGCAAUGGAGGCAACUCUGACGCAGCCAUGCCGCGUGCAGGACUGAAGGCCUUAUGGGUCGUAAACUGCUUUUAUUUAGGAAUAAACUUUCGUACGUGUACGAGACUGAAGGUACUAAAUGAAUAAGCACCGGCUAACUCCGUGCCAGCAGCCGCGGUAAUACGGGAGGGUGCAAGCGUUAUCCGGAUUUAUUGGGUUUAAAGGGUGCGCAGGCGGACUAUUAAGUCAGAGGUGAAAUCCCGGAGCUCAACUUCGGAACUGCCUUUGAUACUGGUAGUCUUGAAUACGGUUGAAGUAGGCGGAAUGUAGCAUGUAGCGGUGAAAUGCAUAGAGAUGCUACAGAACACCGAUCGCGAAGGCAGCUUACUAAGCCGAUAUUGACGCUCAGGCACGAAAGCGUGGGGAGCGAACAGGAUUAGAUACCCUGGUAGUC
Molecule: ribosomal RNA, 461 nt
Filed under: uncultured bacterium
Lineage: Bacteria
Description: partial 16S ribosomal RNA
Rfam family: Bacterial small subunit ribosomal RNA
Source: RNAcentral